RNAcentral lists this long non-coding RNA (8534 nucleotides) under Gallus gallus (chicken). The record is from RNAcentral. Lineage: Eukaryota; Metazoa; Chordata; Aves; Galliformes; Phasianidae.
CCCCAGCCCCCCCACAACGCCUCCCCCAAAUACCUCGCCGAGGUAUUAAAAAUAUUUCAUAACGAAUGGAAAGGUGGAAAAUCAUUCCCAGCCGUGCGGAGGGCGGCUCGCCCCCCCCCCUCCUCCUCUGCCUGCCUUCAACCUCGGGGGGAGGAUGGGCGGGGGUGGCAGCACCCCUGGGCCUCCCUUCUUCCCUCGCAGGUUGCGCCCGUGCGCAUCUCCGCGCGCAUCAGCCCCCCCUCCCCCCGCGCCUCCCUACCGCGCAACCCGCGCACCCCGCGCAGUGACCCCACGGCGAGUUCGAGUCCCGCGGGGAACGGAUCCCUCCGAGCUGCGGGGGUUGCUCUGGGGACGGCCUCCAGGGAUUUGUGUCUGAUUCGGUUUUAUCCCUUUCUGACACUUCUUUUUUUCUCGCUGAAGGGCAGCGGCGGUGCUCUGGGGUACGGGGCGAGGGGAUGCGAGGGGACCUCGGCUGCGCUCUGCCCGAGGAAGGGACCUUCUCUCCUCUUUAUUUUCUCGGCUCACUUUAACUGAUCCAUCCUGACACUCUAUUUUGCUUUCAAAUCAAGUAAAGAUGUGGGAGAGAACUUUUGAACUGUUUUAUGGAAAGUGGAGUGAAGCAAUGCUGCAGUGAGGGCUUUUUUCCUCCCUCGCCGGACUGAUGCGUCCGGCCCUGCACCUCUGAUGCCCAAAGCCUUUUGCAGCUCAGGGUGUGUACAGGGAGGGGGAAACGAAAUGUUUUGGUGGCAUUCGGCCCGUGACAGCCGGCGCAUCCCGGUGCCUCCCGGAGCCCCUCUGCACUUGGACCCCCACCGGCCCGGAGCUGCCCAAGGCGCAGGCGGCCAACGGCAGCGCUUCCAAAAAGUCGGGAUGAAAAAGUUGAAGGCUUAAUGUUUUCUGACAGAUACAAAUGAUACCCCAAGGCUUUCUUAAAACGCGGCGAAUGACGGGAGGAGAAAGGGUUUUCCUAUUCGGGUUUCUGCAGCUGGAAGCAAACGGGGUGGGGGGUUCUCCUCGGCCCUCCUGUCCCGAAAAUUAAACCAUCUCCUGGAAUAACUCCGUUUUUCCCAAGUGCCAUUCGGCACAGCCCCACUCUGGCUCUGCUCCGUGGCCUUCUCCGCAUCCCUCAGACCACGAGCACCGAGCCAUGCUCCGAGCAAAUCCGAAACCGCUGUCAGCAGCCGCUCGGGUUUAGUCCUGGUUGUCCGCAGCCUGAACCGAGUGGGAUCAGCAAUGCCACCGCCAGAGGAUGGACAGCUCGGGGUGCGCGGGCUGCUUCUCUCGGUGGGGAGGGGGAAGGAAGGGGGAAAGUGCCACAUAGUCCCACAAUUCCCUCUCCGAGCAGUGGGAACAUGCUUUUCUUAUUAAUUGAUGGAGGAAGGGGCACCGGCGCUUGCAAGGCAGCCUGCUCAUGUUACUCUGUGCAUCUCCAGGUCCGAAAUGUGUUUGGUUUGUGGACUAAAAAAGAUGCCUCUCGUGCAGGGCAGUCCAAGGCCCGCGCGAUCCGUUGGCAUUUUAUUGUGAUCGUUCUUCUGCAGAAAAAGGGGCUGCGUUUGGUACCACCGAUGCUGCGUUUCCUUGUGGGUUUCCCUCACCUUGUUUCGGGCGAGCAACCUCUUAAUUGCUGCAGCGUUUGGAUGGGGGAAACGCAUUUCCCCUAAACAGAACAUUUCCUGAAGGGCUGAAAUAUUCUAAUAACGCGCUUUAAUGUCCUCAGAACAGCCGUGAAUCUCUGCAGGGCCACGCGUUUCCUGCCUUAAAAAGCAAAAUCGGCGAAACAAUUCACCUUUGUGUGCACUCAGCACCCUCUCUUCUAUUUUCUUUUCUUUCCCUCCCUUCUUCCCCUCCUCCCCCCUUUUUCUUAUUUUUCCUCCCAUAGAUGCUCUGCGCUGCCCCGCGAUGAGGAGCGGGGACGACUUUCUUUCCAGUUUCAUUGUGGGAACGGCCGUAUCUUAACGGGCACAUCUCAGCGAGAGAUAGGAGAACACCACCGCCUUCCAGAGGGCUGCGCUAAUCAGCGCACGGGGCAAGAUAUAAAAGUUCAGGGCAAAUAAAACGAAUUAGUUUUAUUAGCACGUUUAGGAGGCGGUCUAACGAAGGAAUUCGGCUUUACUAGAGAAUGUUUUCUCCACCCCUUCUGUUAUUUAAAAGCAGCAUCUAUGCGGGCUGAUCGGGACGGGGGGGUGGGGGAGAAAUAACGCACCGCUCAACCCGCAGUGAUUUUCUCCGAGGAACGCGCCAUUCUCUCCACCCGGUAAGGAGCACAGAGCCCGGGAAAUACACGAUUUCACAAUGCAAUCUGCUCGAACAAUAAAACCAGUAGUAAAGGAGAGGCUCGGGGCCGAUCAGCGGCGGCUGUCGGGGGGAAAUCUCUGCCCCGCUCAGGGAUUCGUUCGGCUGAACCGCGUCCGGGGAACGGUGCCACCGCUCCGGCUCGGGAUGUCCAGGACUCGGCCCGUAUUUCAGGCACCAGAAGGAUUUUGGGGACGUUCUCCAAGCGAAGCAGCUCUCAGCAAUUAUUUGGACGUCGGGUUUUAGCUCAGAGGCGCAGGGAACGCAUCCCUGGGUCUGGGAGGCAGAAAUUACGUAUUUUAAGACUGUUAGGAAAUAAUCAAACGGCGUCUCGGUCCUCGCUAUCCGCACUGGGGUACCUCGCUAGGCACAUUUUUUUUUUUUUUGUUCAAUUCGUGUCUCGGCGUUUGUGUUCGCCUACAGCGAGGUCGGCAAAACUUAAGGAAUAAGGACGAAAUGACAGAAAACGCUCCUAGGGACGAUUUUUUACGCGACACCUGAAAAUUCUCCUAAGGGUACCGUCGGGGAGGAACUCCGCGCGUCCAUUCAACGGAGUUAACACGAGGGAAUAGAAGCCUUUUUCCACCGCUCCGAGAAUUUCGCCUCCGUUGGACAGAGCGGAGUUGCGGGACAUCGCUGGAGCGUGGGGCUUCCUAAAGGUGUGCCCAUUUUUUUUUUUUCAAUCAGAAAGUAAAUAACAACAAUAAUAAUAAUAAUAAUAAAACACACACACGCAAAGGAGAAAAAAAAAAAAGUAGGGGAACGGAAGAAUUUUCUUGUUCCGAAAAGGGAAUUAAUUGAACGGCAGCUCAGGCUCUCUCCGCCCGCAUCUCUUCCGCGGCCGCGCAGCCCCGGCUGAGACCCCCGCAGCCCCCCGCGCUCCCCAUCCCUCCACCUGUCCCGGCUCGGCCCCCCCGCGCUGCCAUCUCCGGACACCCCCGGGGCCCCGAUCCGACCGCCCCAUCCUAUAGUAGGGGCCGUGCUUUGCUCCGCGUUGCUCCGCGCUGCUCGGGAGAAGAACUCGGGGUUGAAAACGGUGCGCUUACGAUAAAAUAAUAGCACAACAACAACGACGGCGACAAAAAUCUGAAAUAAAGUGAGGGAAAGUUUUGAAGUUUCAGAUGCUUUGCUUCCAAUGCGUGCCCCCCUCUUGGGCUUUGGAGAGCCUAACGGGUCAUUCUGAAAAGAGCAGCGUGCAAGGUCCAGGCAAGCACUGCAGUGGGGACAUGGCUUGUGCUUUGCUAAGGACAGAAGGAUACACAUGCACGUACACCCGGCCCAUAGCCACAGCCGAAAACCAAGGACAACGAAUAUGGAAUGGAUCAGAAAGAUAAAUAGCAUAAAAUCAGGAACAGUCCGGUCCCACACUUGCCAUUUGUUAUAGAGAGAAGAAGUAAAUGGGAUUCACAUGUCGAGCAUUAGCUGGUUGUUAGUCUGUAAGAUAAUAUUAACUUUAGUGCUUGCUGGUUUACUCCAGUUUUCCGAAGGCAGUUCCAGGAGGCGCCCAGCCUGUAAUUUAGGAUGGCACAUACUGUGUGAAAGAGGCUUUGGCACUGGGGCCUACCAGCACAUCAAGGUGAUAUUAACAUAAUAAAACGUUUGGAGAGCGAGUGGGAGCUCAUAAAUUAAUGCAUUCUACUGUUUUAAUGUGAGGAGCUAACAAUACGUUUCCUGUUGGGCUGAUCGUCCCGCUGCAGCCUAACAGCUGUUUUAAAGGUGCUGUGAAAUUAAAGAGAGGGAAGACGAUUGUCUUUAAAUCAAUGUUUAAUGAUGUGUUAUUAGGAGAAUAAGUCUUCCUCCAGCAGAUGUUUACAUGCAGAGGAUGGAGGGAGCUUCCCCGGCUGUCUGAGUGCCUGAGCAGUGUGGAUGAGAUGCCCCCAUGUCCCUCUUCGGAUGGUCCCAGUGUUCCCAGUGCAGGGUCAGGAAGGCUUGGCGGAGGGCUGGCACUGGGAAAGGCUUUGCCCACGUCUUCCAGUGGGAGCUGAGGAAACUCCUCCAGGAUACGGAAUGGCCACGAGGUUUUGAGUGGUGGCCAUGGACGGGUGAACAUGGGAAAAGGUAAAGACUUCCUAUUCACGUUCAGCACAGGUCAGGGCUGCUGGGAUCCUUUCCCUGUAACAAACAGAUGUGCAUAUGCACGUGUUGUAAAGAGAUCCCAUGCCUCCUUGCCUAGGAGAUGAUCCUUGCUGGGUAUGUGUGGGUUGGGAGCAUGACUGAGCCCCUGUGGAGGUAGAAUGAGGCUCAGAUAGGUCAGCAGGGCUGAGAUGCCUCUGGCCAUGCACUAACAGCAGGCUUCAGGUACUAGAAAAAUACAUGUACCUUUGAGGCAAGACUUGGGAGUGAGCUCUGGAAUGUGGUACCUGAAAUAAGGUACCUGCAAGCAUCAAUCUGUAGGCGCCCAAGACUUGUAAUUUCUUUUCUGCUUGGCCUGAAGAUGUAUGAAUGAAUCACCAUGUCUGUGGGUUUAAAAGAUGGCCAUCAUAAAGCUUCCCACCUAGAGAAAACAUCUGGCGGAUUCAGAUGCCAAAAGUACGUGGGGGUCGAUGCUGGGGAUGGCACAGGGUUGCUGGGGGCUGAUGGGAAGGUUCACCUGCUGCUGGGCACCUUAUUGUCAGGUGAACUCCUGCUGCAGGCCAUAAGAGCAUCAGAUCAUCUCCAGGCCAACCCAAGCUGUUUCCCAAAGGGUUGCUUCCAAAACCAAGCGUGGUGGUACAAAUUGCUCCUAUGCAAACAAAGGAACCCCUUGUAAGUGCUUACUUUCAUCAUCACAAACGUUCAUUAAAGUCUCUCUUUAUUUCCAAAUAUAGCAAAGAAAUGGCUCUCCAAGAUUGCCUGCUCCUUUAUUCAUGAUCUGUUAGUGCAUCUUUGGAAUAGUGUCCAGGAGGCUGCACAGCUUCUUUGGGAGAAACGGGGAUGUUUGGAACAUGAGUGGAUUCUAACAUUUCUAAACUUCCCAGAAGAGGCAGAUUGUAAAGGAAUAAGAUUCUUUCUGUGCACGCACAUUUGCUUUGGAGCCAAAUGGAAAGGAGAGCUCAGAAGAAAAAAAAAUGACAAAUUGUCUGGAAAAUGUUGUCCUUCCCAAGGCAGAAUGGGGGGGAACCAUAUGGAGGGAAGGCACUCAAUACCAAAUUUUUCCCUUUCAAUCCCAGUCCAGCAGCCCUCCCAUUCACUCUGCUAGGGGAUUGCUGUGAGUCAGACCCACAAGAUCAUCCAUUCAAAGCUGGUCAUAUUUCCAGCACUUCACUCCUCUCCUAUUCCCUGCUGAAGCAAGAUGGAAAGGGUUCCCCCCUCCCCAAAUGUAUGGUGAGAGCAGUGGGAUGGGACCCAGGGCCGUCCCCAUCCCUGCCAGUGAAGGAAAGGGCAGAGCUCCUCCGGUGCUCUGAAGCAGUGAUGAUAGACGUGGUUUCUUUCUGGACAAAAUGAGUGAUGUGUUGUGAUCUUGGUGGUGAGCUGGAGCACAGAAAGUACUUCCUAUGACAAAGAAACUCCUUCACUCCAUUCAGUCAUCAAACUUACCAUCUUUGUCAUCUUCAAGUAAUAAAUAAGCUCAAUAUUUUAUGCGUUCCCAACUAUUAAUGGUGACAUUUAUUGAAGAACAACAAAAGCUGCAGCAGUUGUGUACAUCAGCAGUUAACAGCAGUGGGCAGAGCGUGCAAGACUCUGAAGAAGACGUUGGGGAAAGAGUUUUUGUGUGUGGUUGUGUUUAUCCCCUGGUGACACGCCGCUAACAAGCUGCAAAGCAGAGAUCACCCACAACAAACAAACACAAACAAACAAAGUUUUGUGGAGGGUGGUAAGACUUAGUUUAAUUCUCUUAGGCCUUUAAAAAUAAUUAUAGCCCUGUUUGUGACAACUGGGAUGGCCACAUCGACUCCAAUAAAACUGCUUGUUAAUCUUUAGGAGUUACAUUUGGAGAUCUUUCCUUACACAGUGGGGACGCCAAUGGGGGUUGAUCACAAUCAAUGCAACGCAUCAAUGUGCAUCUCUAAUUGCAUCUCUCCUCUUUGCACGAGCAGUAGUUUUGACUCUGCAAAUUGUGGUCAGCUGUUUACUUGCCAGUUAAGUUGCAACACGUUUAAUGACUUACAAGAGAUCUGUCAGAGGACUUACUGCUGCCAAAGAACAGGAUCUGGGGGAUUUUAGCAUUAGUGAAAAGUUACUUAAGGUCUGCAUGUCAAUCCAAGUAUCCCUGCUGCAGUUAUAUUUCAUGCACUAUAGACUGUGUGAGAAGAUGAUAAAUGCCAUAUAUGCCUGAAGGAUAACAUGUACCCCAUGUUCUCAAAAUGCAUCAUUGCAUUUGGCUCCAGAUGUGCUGUGUAUUGCUUGGCUGUGCUUUGCCAGCACAGCAAUGUUGUGGCUCACACACUUUCAGGGUGCAGUGCUGAGUCUUCACGUGCCACCUGUGAGCCCUUGGCAACUGCCUUGGUGGGAAAAGGGAUCCUGCGUAGAUAAGCAUACUCAAUUCCACCUCUAGCUGAGAACCAUUUAGAUCUAUAGAAUCAUUAAGGUCAGAAAAGACCACUAUGAUCAUCUGUCCAACCAUCAACCCAUCACCACCACAUUUUGGCUUUAACAGGGAGUGACUAAACACACAUUUAAGGGUAACAAUGUUCUCACUUAUGGAGUGGCAAGUGAGAUCAUAGAAGUGCCAUCUUUGGAGACCUAUCACUGAGUAUUUCCUUUGCUCCUCCCACUGGGGAGGCUUUGAGCUGGGACAGGGGGCAGGAGAGCAGACAGGAGCAGAGCUGCGUCAGCUCCUGCCAGUGAGACCAUCUCCAUGCGCCAUCACUGCUGUAUCUGUUACCAUUAAUGACUUCUACAGUUGCUCUAAGACCAUUUAAGUACUUUGUGACGAUCUGAAACUCACCUCCACCCUGCACACGGGUCCCAAGUGUUAAUUUUUGGAGGUGAGCACGCUGGCCUGGGAGGGGCAAUGAGACAGGGAUUUAUUUGGCAGCGGUUACACCGCCUCCUGGCAGCAUCCGUGAGGCCUCAUACAAAUGAGAACUGAUGGCUUAAUGUUUUGUUGCAUUUUCCCACCAGAGUCAUUACCUCUUCAUUGUGGGGAUGGAUUAAACCGAAGAGGGGAUGCUCAGGGAGAGGCUGCCCUGUGUUGGCCUUGAGCUGCCAUGCCUCUGCCCCCUGCUCUGCCUCCUGCAUCCUCCCCUUGCUGCCCCUGCACAGAAACUCCAGCGUGCACAGAGCACCUCUUUGUCAGGGAGCUGUAGAGAGAAAUAAGGUCUGAAGGUAUUAAAGGGCUGAGCCCUGUCCUGCUGAAACAUGGUGGAACUGAACCAAAAAUACUUGCAGCAAUGAGAAAGCAUCCAUGGAUCUCAAGUGAAUGAACUUGGGUGCAGACAUGUUUGGAAAACCAAUGAAUUGUCCUUGUGCAUAUCUUCAAAAUACCACUAGCACUUUUGCUUUCCCAAGGGGAUCAUCUACAGCAGAAGACUAACCUGGGUCCCUCCCAGCCAUGGGGCUGAUCACAAGAUAAUCACCAGAACUGGGUACCAGGUCAGAAUUACACACCCAUGUGGAAUGCGUUUGCAGAAGAGAAGUCCUCAUUUGCCUGUGAGCAAGGGAACAAAGGCAUUCAUCCAGCUCAGUGAAACGCCGUGAGAUCCAUGGGGGAAAAGCACUAAGUAUUGCAAUUAUUAUUUACUAUAUAUUAAUAUUAGCUAUUCAGAGGAUUUGUGUGUGGAGGAAACUUGGAGGAUCUGGUCUGGUUCUGUGUGUGUCGGGGCUCUUGAGGGAUUUUUUUAGUGUCUACCAUAAUUAAAGAUGAGGACUGAGUGAAACCUUGUGGUUUUACUCCACAAGACAUUAAGUUCAGUGAACUAUUCCCAUGGUUUCCCAAGAAAAGAUGAAAAAAAAUCGUUCAGAAUGUAUUUCAACAGUGAUUCAGCAGUGUGGCAAGAGUGGAGGCUCUGUAGGGAUCACACGUGCCCAAGAGGGAAAGCCAUCAUAGAACAAAGUGAGAGUGUCAGAUAUCUUAAUUCUUCUCUCUCUCCUCAUCCCUGAAGGCAUAAUCCACCUGCUUGCCCUGCACACAGCGCUGGCUUUGCCUCUAUGUUGCUUGCAGUCAUAGGGCCUUUGUGUGAAGUCCACCUGGCUGGGGCUUCCCUUGUUCACCAAAGGAGAGCAGAGCAAUCCUCACCGACCUGAGGGAGCCUGAUUGUCAUGUUUUGAAAGAUGACACGUCCUGCUGGGAGAACAGCAAAAAUUGCCAGAAAACAUUUAAG